CAGCAAGCUGAGAUCGCGCUACUGCACUCCAGCCUGGGCGACAGAGCGAGACUCUGUCUAAAAAAAUAAAUAAAAAUAAAAAUAAUUUUUAGAAAAGAAAUUGAGAGGUAUGGCAGGUGGGAGGCUUCACUUAUAUCCCUUAACAAUAGAGUAGAUAAACAUACAGUGGAAAACAAAAAAACAGCAAUGAAAAUGAACUCACCACAGCUAUAUGAAACAACAUAAAGGAGUUUUGCAAGUGUAUUCUUGUGCAAAAGAAGGCAGACACAAAAUAAUACUGUAUAAUUCAAUUUACAUAAAGUUCAAGGAACAGACAAAACGAAACUACAGUGUUUAGGGACACAUUCUCAGGUGGUACAACUCCAAAAGCAAGGAAGCGAUUAUCACAAAAGUAGUUGGAACACCAAUUACCCUGCAGAGGUCUUCUGCUUGACUGUUCAGUACCAUGGCAUGGGUGAUGCUAACCCAGGCUCACUUUUUGAUAAAUCAUUAGGUUUUACAUUUAUGUUUUGUGCACUUUUCCAUGUGUGCUAUUCUUUUUUUUUUUUUUUUUCUUGAGACGGAGUCUCGCUCUGUUGCCCAGGCUGGAGUGCAGUGGUCUGAUCUCGGCUCAUCGAACCUCUGCCUCCCAGGUUCAAGCGAUUCUCCUGCCUCAGCCUUCUGAGUAGCUGGGACUAUAGGCAUGCACCACCACACCCAGCUAAUUUUUUUGUAUUUUUAGUAGAGACGAUGUUUCACUAUGUUGGCCAGGCUGGUCUCAAACUCCUGACCUUGUGAUCUACCCGCCUCGGCCUCCCAAAGUACUGGGAUUACGGGCGUGAGCCACCAUGCCCAGUCUAUUUUGUAUACAUUUUUUUGAGACAGGGUCUUGCUCUGUUGCCCAGGCUGGAGUGCAGUGGCAUGAUCAUAGCUCUCUGCAGUUUUGACCGCCUGGGCUCAAGUGAUCCUCCCACCUCAGCCCCCUAAGUAGCUGGGACUACAGGUGUGUGCUUCCGCACCUGGCUAAUUUUUGUGUUUUUUGUAGAGACGCAGGUUUCACCAUGUUGCCCAGGCUGGUCUUAAACUCCUGGACUCAAGCAAUCCACCCACCUCCACCUCCCAAAGUGCUAGAAUUACAGGCAUGAGCCACUGCGCCCAGCUAUGUUUAAGACACGGUCUCUGUCGCCCAGGCUGGAGUGCAGCUAACUGCAGCUUCGACGUCCAGGGCUCAAGUGAUCCUCCCACCUCAGACUCCCAAGUGGCUGGAAUUACAGGCCCAUGCCACCAUGCCCGGCUAAUUUUAUUUAAAACAUUUUUCAGAGACAGGGUCUUGCUACAUUGCCCAGGCUGGUCUCUUAACUCCUGACCUCAAGGUAUCCUCCCACUUUGGCCUCCCAAAGUGUUGGUGAUUACAGGCAUGAGCUACUGUGCCAGUCUAUCAUACACUAUUUUUUUUUUUUUUUUGAGACGGAGUCUUGCUCUGUCACCAGGCUAGAGUGCAGUGGUGCGAUCUUGGCUCACUGCAGCUUCUGCCUCCCAGGUUCAAGUGGUGUCCCUGCCUCAGCCUCCGGAGUAGCUGGAACUACAGGCGCGUGCCACCGUGCCCGGCUAAUUUUUUGUAUUUUAGUAGAGAUGGGGUUUCACCAUGUUGGUCAGGAUGGACUCGAUCUCCUGACCUCAUGAUCUGCCCGCUUAGGCCUCCUGGGAUAAAGUGCUGGGAUUACAGGUGUGAGCCACCACACCCAGCCCCAUAUGCUAUUCUUAACAAUAAAAAGGUUUUAAAAAUUUGUCUUUGGGAGGCUGAGGUGGGUGGAUCACCUGAGGUCAGGAGUUCGAGACCAGCCUGGCCAGUCGGGCAUGGUGGCGGGCACCUGUAAUCUCAGCUACUCGGGAGGCUGAGGCAGAAGAAUCACUUGAACCUGGGAGGCAGAGGUUGCAGUGAACCGAGAUCGCGCCACUGCACGCUAGCCUGGGCGACAGAGCAAGACUCCUUUUCAAAAAACAAAACAAAAUUGGGCUGUGUGUGGUGGCUCAUGCCUGUAAUCCCAGCACUUUGGAAGGCUGAAGCAGGAGGAUUGCUUAAGGCAAGGAGUUCAAGGUUACAAUGAGCUAUGAGUGCACAUCAGUCUGGGAGAUAGACUGAGACUCUGCUUCUAAAAAAAAGGGGGGUAGGGGUGGGAAACGCCAGCUCUUAAGGUAGUCAUUAGAAUGGUGAGAAGAGGUUGGGUUUUGUUUUGUUUGAGACGGAGUUUUGCUCCUGUCACCUAGGCUAGAGUGCAAUGGUGUGAUUUCGGCUCAUUGCAACCUCUUCCUCCCGGGUUCAAGCGAUUCUCCUGCCUCAGCCUCCUGAGUAGCUGGAAUUACAG
This 2345-nucleotide long non-coding RNA is filed under the name Homo sapiens (human). Its description in RNAcentral is "non-protein coding lnc-PCIF1-1:1". The record is from RNAcentral. Lineage: Eukaryota; Metazoa; Chordata; Mammalia; Primates; Hominidae.